RNAcentral lists this unclassified non-coding RNA (978 nucleotides) under Leishmania donovani. RNAcentral's name for it is "gene:LdHU3.08.0060(CDS-product:hypothetical_prote in_conserved)". The record is from RNAcentral. Lineage: Eukaryota; Euglenozoa; Kinetoplastea; Trypanosomatida; Trypanosomatidae.
CAGGCUGCCAGUGGUAUGGGAGUCUCUGUUUCCACUUUCAGGCUCUUACUCUCUUUCGACCAAAUUAGUAUUGCCUUAGUUCAUUGUUACUUCGCGCUCGGACAUUCGUGUCUCCAUCAUGGCGUCCAUCAAGGAGCUGAACGACCGCCUGACGAAGCAGCCGUACGUGUCCGGCUACACGCCAAGCGCCGACGAUGCGAAGCUCUUUAACGAGAUCUUUGGCGACAAUGUGAACGUAGUCCAGUGGGCUGCACGCAUGGCGACGUACUAUCCUAGCGAGCGUUCCAAGAUGAAACCCAUUCCAGUCGAGUCGGAGGACUCCUCGGAGAUCGAUUAUGACGAUUGAUGUGACUUCGCGCACGCGUCGAGUAGGAUAGAGUCUGGUUGUGUGCGCUAGCAGCAGCCACGGCACCGUGUGACUCAACUGCAGCGCCACUUUUAGUUGGUGCAGGGAAUGUGGGAGAGGAGUGGCUGCAAAAACCACCAUUCAUCGAUAUGCAUAGAGCUCUUUGUCUGCACGUAAGUCUGUCCUGCGGUGUUGACGAAAGGCUGCGGUACUCGUGCGCGCACACGUGUCUCAUGGUAGACCACAUAGGAAAUUCCCGUAAUGUUAUCUGGUUGGUUUUGGGUGUACGCAUUGUUCUUUUUUUUUUUGCUGUUGUGCGGCUAACACCGUGCGUGAGGGCGUGCGUGUGUUCCUCGAUUUCUUUGUCUCGCUUUUCUUUUUGAUUUCCCUUACUCAACGUUGCUCAGCGGCCUUUAGGUGGUCUUUUCAUUCUCAAAGCAGCCAUCACAAGCGGGAAGCCAGCAGUCCCGGCAAGUCGUAAGACAGUGGUGGGUGGUGAGUGGGAGGCGCUUCAGAUGCUGCACUCCCACCUGGAGCGACCUCUUAAAGAAAAAGAGGGAGACAAAGAGGCAUCCACUACUGUUCUUUUUUGUUUUCUGUGUGUCUGUCUCUGCCACGGGCGUGAAAAGGAG